UGGGGAAUUUUGGACAAUGGGCGAAAGCCUGAUCCAGCCAUGCCGCGUGAGUGAAGAAGGCCUUCGGGUUGUAAAGCUCUUUUAGUCGGAAAGAAAGAGUUGCAAUGAAUAAUUGUGAUUUAUGACGGUACCGACAGAAAAAGCACCGGCUAACUCCGUGCCAGCAGCCGCGGUAAUACGGAGGGUGCGAGCGUUGUUCGGAAUUACUGGGCGUAAAGCGCGUGCAGGCGGUCUCUUAAGUCUGGUGUGAAAGCCCGGGGCUCACCCCCGGAAGGGCACUGGAGACUGGGAUGCUAGAGUACCGGAGAGGAAGGUGGAAUUCCUGGUGUAGCGGUGAAAUGCGUAGAUAUCAGGAGGAACACCGGUGGCGAAGGCGGCCUUCUGGACGGCUACUGACGCUGAGACGUGAAAGCGUGGGGAGCAAACA
RNAcentral lists this ribosomal RNA (427 nucleotides) under uncultured bacterium. RNAcentral's name for it is "bacterial SSU rRNA". It matches the Rfam family "Bacterial small subunit ribosomal RNA", at positions 355 to 774 of the family's 1533-position model. The record is from RNAcentral.